CCCUUAGAUGUUCUGGGCCGCACGCGCGCUACACUGACGAAUGCAACGAGCUUAUAACCUUGGCCGAAAGGUCUGGGUAAUCUCCAAAUUUCGUCGUGAUGGGGAUAGAUUAUUGCAAUUAUUAAUCUUCAACGAGGAAUGCCUAGUAAGCGCAAGUCAUCAGCUUGCGUUGAUUACGUCCCUGCCCUUUGUACACACCGCCCGUCGCUCCUACCGAUUGAAUGGUCCGGUGAAGCGUUCGGACCGCUUCCUUUGGACGGGCAACCGUCUGUUGGUCGUGGGAAGUUCGUUAAACCUUNUNAUUUAUNGGAAGGAGAANUCGUANCA
RNAcentral lists this ribosomal RNA (327 nucleotides) under uncultured eukaryote. RNAcentral describes it as "partial 18S ribosomal RNA". It matches the Rfam family "Eukaryotic small subunit ribosomal RNA", at positions 1470 to 1796 of the family's 1831-position model. The record is from RNAcentral.